CAGCAGCCACGGUAACACGGAGGGUGCAAGCGUUAAUAGGAAUUACUGGGCGUAAAGCGUGCGUAGGCGGUUCGUUAAGUCUGUUGUGAAAGCCCCGGGCUCAACCUGGGAAUGGCAAUGGAUACUGGCGAGCUAGAGUGUGUCAGAGGAUGGUGGAAUUCCCGGUGUAGCGGUGAAAUGCGUAGAGAUCGGGAGGAACAUCAGUGGCGAAGGCGGCCAUCUGGGACAACACUGACGCUGAGGCACGAAAACGUGGGGAGCAAACAGGAUUAGAUACCCCUGUAGUCCCUGUCUCUUAUAC
This 301-nucleotide ribosomal RNA is filed under the name uncultured bacterium. Its description in RNAcentral is "partial 16S ribosomal RNA". It matches the Rfam family "Bacterial small subunit ribosomal RNA", at positions 509 to 807 of the family's 1533-position model. The record is from RNAcentral.